RNAcentral lists this ribosomal RNA (253 nucleotides) under uncultured bacterium. Its description in RNAcentral is "partial 16S ribosomal RNA". It matches the Rfam family "Bacterial small subunit ribosomal RNA", at positions 524 to 776 of the family's 1533-position model. The record is from RNAcentral.
GACGAACCGUCCGAACGUUAUUCGGAAUCACUGGGCUUAAAGGGUGCGUAGGCGGCGCGGAAAGUUGGGUGUGAAAUCCCUCGGCUCAACCGAGGAACUGCGCCCAAAACUACCGUGCUCGAGGGAGAUAGAGGUGAGCGGAACUUAGGGUGGAGCGGUGAAAUGCGUUGAUAUCCUAAGGAACACCGGUGGCGAAAGCGGCUCACUGGAUCUCUUCUGACGCUGAGGCACGAAGGCCAGGGGAGCAAACGGG